Molecule: ribosomal RNA, 454 nt
Filed under: uncultured bacterium
Lineage: Bacteria
Description: bacterial SSU rRNA
Rfam family: Bacterial small subunit ribosomal RNA
Source: RNAcentral
UACGGGAGGCAGCAGGGGGAAUAUUGCACAAUGGGCGCAAGCCUGAUGCAGCCAUGCCGCGUGUAUGAAGAAGGCCUUCGGGUUGUAAAGUACUUUCAGUCGUGAGGAAGGUGUUAAGGUUAAUAACCUUAGCAAUUGACGUUAGCGACAGAAGAAGCACCGGCUAACUCCGUGCCAGCAGCCGCGGUAAUACGGAGGGUGCGAGCGUUAAUCGGAAUUACUGGGCGUAAAGGGCACGCAGGCGGUUAAUUAAGUUGGAUGUGAAAUCCCCGGGCUUAACCUGGGAAUGGCAUUCAAGACUGGUUAGCUAGAGUCUUGUAGAGGGGGUAGAAUUCCAUGUGUAGCGGUGAAAUGCGUAGAGAUGUGGAGGAAUACCGGUGGCGAAGGCGGCCCCUGGGACAAAGACUGACGCUCAUGUGCGAAAGCGUGGGGAGCAAACAGGGAUUUAGAUACC